Molecule: ribosomal RNA, 118 nt
Filed under: Erinaceus europaeus (western European hedgehog)
Lineage: Eukaryota; Metazoa; Chordata; Mammalia; Eulipotyphla; Erinaceidae
Source: RNAcentral
GUCUCUGGCCGUACCAUCCUGAACAUGCCCAAUCUCAUCUGACCUUGGAAGCUAAGCAGGGUCCGGCCUGGUUAGUACUUGGAUGGGAGACAAAAAGGAAAUAAAUAAGCCAAGGGCC